This 375-nucleotide long non-coding RNA is filed under the name Oryza brachyantha (malo sina). RNAcentral describes it as "long non-coding RNA (OBRA_LNC000926)". The record is from RNAcentral. Lineage: Eukaryota; Viridiplantae; Streptophyta; Magnoliopsida; Poales; Poaceae.
AACGCCGCCACAGCCGCCACCGCGACCGCCAGCGCCACCACCGCCGGCGACGCCAUACCCCCUCCUCUCUCUCUCUCUCUCCCCCUCGCUCUCUCCGCCCACGCCCGCGCUACUGGGGAUGGCCCCGGCUCCCGGCUCUCUCACUUCACUGGCAGGCUAUCACGCGAACGCCAUUGCCUCGCCGCGGCCGGUGGUGGUGCUUUGUAUGUGUCGCCGUGGGGCGGGGCGGGGCGCCGUGGUUGUGAAUCUGAUGGAUGCGAUGCGAUGCGAUGCCGAUACGAGGACGACGCGAGGCGCACCUCGCGUACACACGCGUCAACUACCUCGCACCGGCUUCGCCAAUCUGCACCGUGCACGUGGUGAGCAGAGUAAGUU